Molecule: transfer RNA, 74 nt
Filed under: Trichonephila inaurata madagascariensis
Lineage: Eukaryota; Metazoa; Arthropoda; Arachnida; Araneae; Nephilidae
Rfam family: tRNA
About the family: Transfer RNA (tRNA) molecules are approximately 80 nucleotides in length. Their secondary structure includes four short double-helical elements and three loops (D, anti-codon, and T loops).
Source: Rfam by way of RNAcentral
ACCUCCGUGGCGCAAUCGGCUAGCGCGUUCGGCUUUUAACCGAAAGGUUGGUGGUUCGAGCCCAUCCUGGGGCG